Molecule: ribosomal RNA, 1071 nt
Filed under: Megalaria versicolor
Lineage: Eukaryota; Fungi; Ascomycota; Lecanoromycetes; Lecanorales; Megalariaceae
Description: SSU rRNA
Rfam family: Eukaryotic small subunit ribosomal RNA
Source: RNAcentral
GAUUCAUAAUAACUUAACGAAUCGCAUGGCCUUGCGCCGGCGAUGGUCAUUCAAAUUUCUGCCCUAUCACCUUUCGAUUGUUGGGUCUUGGCCAACAAUGGGUUCUACGGGUAACGGGGAAUUAGGGUUCGAUUCCGGAGAGGGAGCCUGAGAAACGGCUACCACAUCCAAGGAAGGCAGCAGGCGCGCAAAUUACCCAAUCCCGACACGGGGAGGUAGUGACAAUAAAUACUGAUGCAGGGCCCCUUCGGGUCUUGCAAUUGGAAUGAGUACAAUCUAAACCCCUUAACGAGGAACAAUUGGGGGGCAAGUCUGGUGCCAGCAGCCGCGGUAAUUCCAGCUCCAAUAGCGUAUAUUAAAGUUGUUGCAGUUAAAAAGCUCGUAGUUGAAACUUGGGUCUGGCUGACCGGUCCGCCUCACCGCGUGCACUGGCUCGGCCGGGCCUUUCCUUCUGGGGAGCCUCAUGCCCUUCACUGGGUGUGAUGGGGAACCAGGACUUUUACUUUGAAAAAAUUAGAGUGUUCAAAGCAGGCCUAUGCUCGAAUACGUUAGCAUGGAAUAAUAGAAUAGGACGUGUGGUUCUAUUUUGUUGGUUUCUAGGACCGCCGUAAUGAUUAAUAGGGAUAGUCGGGGGCAUCAGUAUUUAACAGCAAGAGGUGAAAUUCUUGGAUUUGUUAAAGACUAACUACUGCGAAAGCAUUUGCCAAGGAUGUUUUCAUUAAUCAGUGAACGAAAGUUAGGGGAUCGAAGACGAUCAGAUACCGUCGUAGUCUUAACCAUAAACUAUGCCGACUAGGGAUCGGACGGUGUUAUCAUUUUGACCCGUUCGGCACCUUACGAGAAAUCAAAGUCUUUGGGUUCUGGGAGGAGUAUGGUCGCAAGGCUGAAACUUAAAGAUAUUGACGGAAGGGCACCACCAGGCGUGGAGCCUGCGGCUUAAUUUGACUCAACACGGGGAAACUCACCAGGUCCAGACACAAAUAGGAUUGACAGAUUGAGAGCUCUUUCUUGAUUUUGUGGGUGGUGGUGCAUGGCCGUUCUUAGUUGGUGGAGUGAUUUGUCUGCUUAAUU